UGAACGCUGGCGGCCGGCCUAACACAUGCACGUCGAACGGUAACAGGAAACAGCUUGCUGUUUCGCUGACGAGUGGCGGACGGGUGAGUAAUGUCUGGGAAACUGCCUGAUGGAGGGGGAUAACUACUGGAAACGGUAGCUAAUACCGCAUAACGUCGCAAGACCAAAGAGGGGGACCUUCGGGCCUCUUGCCAUCGGAUGUGCCCAGAUGGGAUUAGCUAGUAGGUGGGGUAACGGCUCACCUAGGCGACGAUCCCUAGCUGGUCUGAGAGGAUGACCAGCCACACUGGAACUGAGACACGGUCCAGACUCCUACGGGAGGCAGCAGUGGGGAAUAUUGCACAAUGGGCGCAAGCCUGAUGCAGCCAUGCCGCGUGUAUGAAGAAGGCCUUCGGGUUGUAAAGUACUUUCAGCGGGGAUGAAGGGAGUAAAGUUAAUACCUUUGCUCAUUGACGUUACCCGCAGAAGAAGCACCGGCUAACUCCGUG
RNAcentral lists this ribosomal RNA (488 nucleotides) under uncultured bacterium. RNAcentral's name for it is "partial 16S ribosomal RNA". It matches the Rfam family "Bacterial small subunit ribosomal RNA", at positions 30 to 507 of the family's 1533-position model. The record is from RNAcentral.